Small nuclear RNA from Hucho hucho (huchen), 164 nucleotides. Its record names the gene U1. It matches the Rfam family "U1 spliceosomal RNA". From Rfam's summary of the family: U1 is a small nuclear RNA (snRNA) component of the spliceosome (involved in pre-mRNA splicing). Its 5' end forms complementary base pairs with the 5' splice junction, thus defining the 5' donor site of an intron. There are significant differences in sequence and secondary structure between metazoan and yeast U1 snRNAs, the latter being much longer (568 nucleotides as compared to 164 nucleotides in human). NCBI's taxonomy places the organism in Eukaryota, Metazoa, Chordata, Actinopteri, Salmoniformes, Salmonidae. The record is from Ensembl.
AUACUUACCUGGCAAGGGAGAUACUGUGAUCAUGAAGGCGGUUCACUCAGAGCGAGACUCAGCCAUUGCACUCCGGCUGUGCUGACCCCUGUGAAUUUCCCAAAUGUGUAAAUCUCGAUUGCAGAAUUUCUGGUAGUGGGGGACUGCGUUCGCUCUCUCCCCUG